RNAcentral lists this non-coding RNA (947 nucleotides) under Macaca fascicularis (crab-eating macaque). RNAcentral describes it as "12S ribosomal RNA". It matches the Rfam family "Bacterial small subunit ribosomal RNA". Lineage: Eukaryota; Metazoa; Chordata; Mammalia; Primates; Cercopithecidae. The record is from RNAcentral.
AAUAGGCUUGGUCCUGGCCUUUCUAUUAGCUCUUAGCAGGAUUACACAUGCAAGCAUCCCCGCUCCAGUGAAGACGCCCUACAAAUCAUCAUGACCAAGAGGAGCAAGCAUCAAGCACGCACACGCAGCUCAAAACGCUUUGCCUAGCCACACCCCCACGGGAGACAGCAGUGACAAAUAUUUAGCAAUAAACGAAAGUUCAACUAAGCCAUGCUAUAUUUAGGGUUGGUCAAUUUCGUGCCAGCCACCGCGGUUACACGAUUAACCCCAGCUAAUAGGGAUCGGCGUAGAGGGUGUUUAAGAUCUAACAUAAUAAAGCUAAACUCCACCUAAACUGUAAAACCCUAGCUAAUGUAAAAUAAACUACGAAAGUGGCUUUAAAGCUUCUGAACACACAAUAGCCAAGACCCAAACUGGGAUUAGACACCCCACUAUGCUUGGCCCUAAACCUCAGUAAUUAGAUAACAAAACUACUCGCCAGAAUACUACAAGCAACAGCUUGAAACUCAAAGGACUUGACGGUGCUUUACAUCCCCCUAGAGGAGCCUGUUCCGUAAUCGAUAAACCCCGAUCCACCCUACCCUCUCUUGCUCAGCCUAUAUACCGCCAUCUUCAGCAAACCCUAAUGAAGGCCACAAAGUGAGCGCAAACGCCGCCGCCGCGAAUACGUUAGGUCAAGGUGUAGCCCAUGAGACGGUAAAAAAUGGGCUACAUUUUCUGUUUCAGAAAACCCACGAAAACCCUUAUGAAACUUAAGGGUCCAAGGAGGAUUUAGCAGUAAAUUAAGAAUAGAGUGCUUAAUUGAACCAGGCCAUAAAGCGCGCACACACCGCCCGUCACUCCUCUCAAAUAUAUUUAAGGAAUAUUCUAACUAAACGCCCUAAUAUUUAUAUAGAGAGGAUAAGUCGUAACAUGGUAAGCGUACUGGAAGGUGCGCUUGGAUAAAU